This is a long non-coding RNA of Bos taurus (domestic cattle), 397 nucleotides long. The record is from Ensembl. NCBI's taxonomy places the organism in Eukaryota, Metazoa, Chordata, Mammalia, Artiodactyla, Bovidae.
CCACAGUACAGAGGAUGAAUUGGAGAGGGGCCCAUGUGGAGGGGAUCUUCGUGACCCAGGAAUCCAACCCAUGUCUUCUGCAUCUCCUCCAUUGCAGGCAUAUUCUUUACCCCAGAACCAUCAGGGAAGCCCUCUAGGAUUGUGGGAGCCCGCAUCACCCACUGAGCUGUCAAGAGCCCAAAUGGAACAAAAAAGUGAAGGAAGGGCACCUUUGCUUUCUCUCUCCUGGAGCUAAGACAUCCACCAUCUCCUGCCCUAGGACUCUGGCGCUCCUGGUUUGGAUGAGGUCUUAACAACAUCAGCUCCCUGAUUCUUGGGCCUUCAGGCUCAGACUGAAUUAUAUCAUCGUCUUUCCUGGUUCUGCAGCUUGCAGACAGCAGAUCAUGGAACUUCUUGG